GGGUCCUAAGCUGAGGCCGACAGGCGUAGGCGAUGGAUAACAGGUUGAUAUUCCUGUACCACCUAUAAUCGUUUUAAUCGAUGGGGGGACGCAGUAGGAUAGGCGAAGCGUGCGAUUGGAUUGCACGUCUAAGCAGUAAGGCUGAGUAUUAGGCAAAUCCGGUACUCGUUAAGGCUGAGCUGUGAUGGGGAGAAGACAUUGUGUCUUCGAGUCGUUGAUUUCACACUGCCGAGAAAAGCCUCUAGAUAGAAAAUAGGUGCCCGUACCGCAAACCGACACAGGUAGUCAAGAUGAGAAUUCUAAGGUGAGCGAGCGAACUCUCGUUAAGGAACUCGGCAAAAUGACCCCGUAACUUCGGGAGAAGGGGUGCUCUUUAGGGUUAACGCCCAGAAGAGCCGCAGUGAAUAGGCCCAAGCGACUGUUUAUCAAAAACACAGGUCUCUGCUAAACCGUAAGGUGAUGUAUAGGGGCUGACGCCUGCCCGGUGCUGGAAGGUUAAGAGGAGUGGUUAGCUUCUGCGAAGCUACGAAUCGAAGCCCCAGUAAACGGCGGCCGUAACUAUAACGGUCCUAAGGUAGCGAAAUUCCUUGUCGGGUAAGUUCCGACCCGCACGAAAGGCGUAACGAUUUGGGCACUGUCUCAACGAGAGACUCGGUGAAAUCAUAGUACCUGUGAAGAUGCAGGUUACCCGCGACAGGACGGAAAGACCCCGUGGAGCUUUACUGUAGCCUGAUAUUGAAAUUCGGCACAGCUUGUACAGGAUAGGUAGGAGCCUUUGAAACGUGAGCGCUAGCUUACGUGGAGGCGCUGGUGGG
RNAcentral lists this ribosomal RNA (815 nucleotides) under Staphylococcus aureus. Its description in RNAcentral is "partial 23S ribosomal RNA". It matches the Rfam family "Bacterial large subunit ribosomal RNA", at positions 1386 to 2196 of the family's 2925-position model. The record is from RNAcentral. Lineage: Bacteria; Bacillati; Bacillota; Bacilli; Caryophanales; Staphylococcaceae.